This 253-nucleotide ribosomal RNA is filed under the name uncultured bacterium. RNAcentral describes it as "partial 16S ribosomal RNA". It matches the Rfam family "Bacterial small subunit ribosomal RNA", at positions 524 to 776 of the family's 1533-position model. The record is from RNAcentral.
UACGUAGGGUGCAAGCGUUGUCCGGAAUUAUUGGGCGUAAAGAGCUCGUAGGCGGUCUGUCACGUCGGCUGUGAAAACCCGAGGCUCAACCUCGGGCCUGCAGUCGAUACGGGCAGACUAGAGUUCGGUAGGGGAGACUGGAAUUCCUGGUGUAGCGGUGAAAUGCGCAGAUAUCAGGAGGAACACCGGUGGCGAAGGCGGGACUCUGGGCCGAUACUGACGCUGAGGAGCGAAAGCGUGGGGAGCAAACAGG